CGUAGACUCCUACGGGAGGCAGCAGUGGGGAAUAUUGCACAAUGGGCGCAAGCCUGAUGCAGCCAUGCCGCGUGUAUGAAGAAGGGCCUUCGGGUUGUAAAGUACUUUCAGCAGUGAGGAAGGUGGAUGCGUUAAUAGCGUAUUCAUUUGACGUUAGCUGCAGAAGAAGCACCGGCUAACUCCGUGCCAGCAGCCGCGGUAAUACGGAGGGGGGUUAGCGUUGUUCGGAAUUACUGGGCGUAAAGCGCGCGUAGGCGGACUAGAAAGUUGGGGGGUGAAAUCCCGGGGCUCAACCUCGGAACUGCCUUCAAAACUCCUAGUCUAGAGUUCGAGAGAGGUGAGUGGAAUUCCAAGUGUAGAGGUGAAAUUCGUAGAUAUUUGGAGGAACACCAGUGGCGAAGGCGGCUCACUGGCUCGAUACUGACGCUGAGGUGCGAAAGUGUGGGGAGCAAACAGGAUUAGAUACCCUGGUAG
Molecule: ribosomal RNA, 474 nt
Filed under: uncultured bacterium
Lineage: Bacteria
Description: bacterial SSU rRNA
Rfam family: Bacterial small subunit ribosomal RNA
Source: RNAcentral